Molecule: ribosomal RNA, 1133 nt
Filed under: Biatriospora sp.
Lineage: Eukaryota; Fungi; Ascomycota; Dothideomycetes; Pleosporales; Biatriosporaceae
Description: SSU rRNA
Rfam family: Eukaryotic small subunit ribosomal RNA
Source: RNAcentral
GUAGUCAUAUGCUUGUCUCAAGGAUUAAGCCAUGCAUGUCUAAGUAUAAGCAAUUAUACCGUGAAACUGCGAAUGGCUCAUUAAAUCAGUUAUCGUUUAUUUGAUAGUACCUUACUACUUGGAUAACCGUGGUAAUUCUAGAGCUAAUACAUGCUAAAAACCCCGACUUCGGGAGGGGUGUAUUUAUUAGAUAAAAAACCAAUGCCCUUCGGGGCUCCUUGGUGAUUCAUAAUAACUUAACGGAUCGUAUGGCCUUGCGCCGGCGACGGUUCAUUCAAAUUUCUGCCCUAUCAACUUUCGAUGGUAAGGUAUUGGCUUACCAUGGUUUCAACGGGUAACGGGGAAUUAGGGUUCGAUUCCGGAGAGGGAGCCUGAGAAACGGCUACCACAUCCAAGGAAGGCAGCAGGCGCGCAAAUUACCCAAUCCCGACACGGGGAGGUAGUGACAAUAAAUACUGAUACAGGGCUCUUUUGGGUCUUGUAAUCGGAAUGAGUACAAUUUAAACCCCUUAACGAGGAACAAUUGGAGGGCAAGUCUGGUGCCAGCAGCCGCGGUAAUUCCAGCUCCAAUAGCGUAUAUUAAAGUUGUUGCAGUUAAAAAGCUCGUAGUUGAACCUUGGGCCUGGCUGGCCGGUCCGCCUCACCGCGUGUACUGGUCCGGCCGGGCCUUUCCUUCUGGAGAUCCUCAUGCCCUUCACUGGGUGUGUUGGGGAACCAGGACUUUUACUGUGAACAAAUUAGAGUGUUCAAAGCAGGCCUUUGCUCGAAUACAUUAGCAUGGAAUAAUAGAAUAGGACGUGCGGUCCUAUUUUGUUGGUUUCUAGGACCGCCGUAAUGAUUAAUAGGGAUAGUCGGGGGCAUCAGUAUUCAAUUGUCAGAGGUGAAAUUCUUGGAUUUAUUGAAGACUAACUACUGCGAAAGCAUUUGCCAAGGAUGUUUUCAUUAAUCAGUGAACGAAAGUUAGGGGAUCGAAGACGAUCAGAUACCGUCGUAGUCUUAACCGUAAACUAUGCCGACUAGGGAUCGGGCGAUGUUUCUAUCUUGACUCGCUCGGCACCUUACGAGAAAUCAAAGUUUUUGGGUUCUGGGGGGAGUAUGGUCGCAAGGCUGAAACUUAAAGGAAUUGACGGAAG